This 484-nucleotide ribosomal RNA is filed under the name uncultured bacterium. RNAcentral's name for it is "partial 16S ribosomal RNA". It matches the Rfam family "Bacterial small subunit ribosomal RNA", at positions 29 to 507 of the family's 1533-position model. The record is from RNAcentral.
AUUGAACGCUGGCGGCAUGCUUUACACAUGCAAGUCGAACGGCAGCGCGGGCUUCGGCCUGGCGGCGAGUGGCGAACGGGUGAGUAAUACAUCGGAACGUGCCCAGUAGUGGGGGAUAGCUCGGCGAAAGCCGGAUUAAUACCGCAUACGACCUGAGGGUGAAAGCGGGGGAUCUUCGGACCUCGCGCUAUUGGAGCGGCCGAUGGCAGAUUAGCUAGUUGGUGGGGUAAAGGCCUACCAAGGCGACGAUCUGUAGCUGGUCUGAGAGGACGACCAGCCACACUGGGACUGAGACACGGCCCAGACUCCUACGGGAGGCAGCAGUGGGGAAUUUUGGACAAUGGGCGAAAGCCUGAUCCAGCAAUGCCGCGUGUGUGAUGAAGGCCUUCGGGUUGUAAAGCACUUUUGGCGGGAACGAAAAGGACUGUGCCAAUAACACGGUUCGAUGACGGUACCCGCAGAAUAAGCACCGGCUAACUACGUG